AUAAGUUACUAAGGGCACAAGGUGGAUGCCUUGGCAUUAGGAGGCGAUGAAGGACGUGAUAGGCUGCGAUAUGCCUCGACGAGGAGCCAAAUAUCCUAUGACUCGGGGAUUUCCGAAUGGGGAACCCACGUAAAUUCAUAUUUACGUAUCUCUUGACUGAAUACAUAGGUCUUGAGAGGCGAACGCGGUGAAGUGAAACAUCUCAGUAACCGCAGGAGAAGAAAUCAAUAGAGAUUCCGGUAGUAGCGGCGAGCGAACCUGGAACAGGCCAAACCGUCGAGUUUCGACUUGGCGGGGUUGUAGGGCUGAUAACAUCGAUCCAUGAUUAGAUAAGGGAACAGGUUGGGAAACCUGGCCAUAGAGAGUGAAAGUCUCGUACCUUAAAUCGAAAGUGGCGUAUUCAGUACCUGAGUACCGCGGGACACGUGAAACCCCGUGGGAACCUGGGAGGACCAUCUCCCAAGCCUAAAUACUCCCUAAUGACCGAUAGCGUACCAGUACCGUGAGGGAAAGGUGAAAAGAACCCCUGUUAGGGGAGUGAAAUAGAACCUGAAACCAUGUGCCUACAAGCUGUAGGAGCAGACUAGUUCUGUGACUGCGUGCUUUUUGCAUAACGGGCCAGCGAGUUACUCUGUAAUGCGAGGUUAAGCUUUUAAGUGUAGCCGUAGCGAAAGCGAGUCUGAAUAGGGCGACAAGUAUUGCGGAGUAGACCCGAAGCCGGGUGAUCUAUCCAUGAGCAGGCUGAAGCUUGAGUAAAAUCAAGUGGAGGGCCGAACCAGUAUCGGUUGAAAACGAUUUGGAUGACUUGUGGAUAGGGGUGAAAGGCCAAUCAAACCCGGUGAUAGCUGGUUCUCGUCGAAAUAUAUUGAGGUAUAGCGUGUGAUUAGUUUGACGGAGGUAGAGCACUGACAAGGCUAGGGGCCCACCAGGUUACCAACCCUUAUCAAACUCCGAAUGCCGUUAAAUGAUGUCAUGCAGUCAGGCUAUGGGUGCGAAGGUCCAUGGCCGAGAGGGAAACAGCCCAGACCAACAGCUAAGGUCUCGAAAUCAAUGCUAAGUGGGAAAGGUGGUGGAGUUGCUGAUACAUCCAGGAGGUUGGCUUAGAAGCAGCCAUCCUUUAAAGAAAGCGUAAUAGCUCACUGGCCUAGCGAUUCUGCGCCGAAAAUGUAACGGGGCUAAGCAUUGUACCGAAGCUUUGGGUUCAUAGUUUACUAUGAGCGGUAGACGAGCGUUCUCAGAUGGGAUGAAGGUUAACCGGAAGGUUGGCUGGACUAAUGAGAAGUGAUUAUGCUGGCAUGAGUAACGAUAAAAUAAGUGAGAAACUUAUUCGCCGUAAACCUAAGGUUUCCUGGGUAAAGCUAAUCUUCCCAGGGUAAGUCGGCCCCUAAGGCGAGGCAGAAAUGCGUAGCUGAUGGGAAACAGGUUAAUAUUCCUGUACUUGUAUACAUGUGCGAUGGAGGGACGCAGGAGGUAGAUGAUCCGGGUGUUGGAUAUCCCGGUGCAAAGGUGUAGGCUUUCGGAGUAGGCAAAUCCGCUCUGAUAUACGGUCGAGACCUGAUGCCGUGUCUUUAAACGACAGAAGUCAUUGAUUCCAUGCUGCCAAGAAAAGCUUCUAAGUUUAGUGUAUGCAAACCGUACCGCAAACCAACACAGGUAGGUGGGUCGAGCAGACCAAGGCGCUUGAGAGAACUCUGGUUAAGGAACUCGGCAAAAUGACCCCGUAAGUUCGCGAGAAGGGGUACUCGAAUGUGUGAUCUUAUUUACUUUGUGAGCACACUCGAGGCGCAGUGAAUCGGGGGGGCGACUGUUUACUAAAAACAUAGGUCUCUGCUAAGUCGUAAGACGAUGUAUAGGACUGACGCCUGCCCGGUGCUGGAAGGUUAAGAGGUGGGGUUAGUCUUCGGACGAAGCUCUAAAUCGAAGCCCCAGUAAACGGCGGCCGUAACUAUAACGGUCCUAAGGUAGCGAAAUUCCUUGUC
This 1979-nucleotide ribosomal RNA is filed under the name bioreactor metagenome. RNAcentral describes it as "bacterial LSU rRNA". It matches the Rfam family "Bacterial large subunit ribosomal RNA", at positions 1 to 1973 of the family's 2925-position model. The record is from RNAcentral.